AUUGAACGCUGGCGGCAUGCCUAACACAUGCAAGUCGAACGGCAGCAUGGUACGAUUUCGGUUGUACUGAUGGCGAGUGGCGAACGGGUGAGUAACACGUGGAGAUAUACCUUGAAGAGGGGGAUAACUUAAGGAAACUUAAGCUAAUACCGCAUAAGCUCUAAGGAGGAAAGCUGGGGACCUUAUGGCCUGGCGCUUUGAGAUUAGUCCACGUCUGAUUAGCUAGUUGGUGGGGUAAGGGCUUACCAAGGCGACGAUCAGUAGCUGGUCUGAGAGGAUGGACAGCCACACUGGGACUGAGACACGGCCCAGACUCCUACGGGAGGCAGCAGUGGGGAAUAUUGGACAAUGGGGGCAACCCUGAUCCAGCAAUGCCGCGUGUGUGAAGAAGGCCUGAGGGUUGUAAAGCACUAUCGGUGGGGAGGAGGGAUAGUUGGUUAAGAGCUGAUUAUCUGGACGUUACCCAUAGAAGAAGCACCGGCUAACUCCGUGCCAGCCGCCGCGGUAA
Molecule: ribosomal RNA, 508 nt
Filed under: uncultured bacterium
Lineage: Bacteria
Description: partial 16S ribosomal RNA
Rfam family: Bacterial small subunit ribosomal RNA
Source: RNAcentral